This 69-nucleotide transfer RNA is filed under the name Rattus norvegicus (Norway rat). It matches the Rfam family "tRNA". From Rfam's summary of the family: Transfer RNA (tRNA) molecules are approximately 80 nucleotides in length. The record is from Rfam by way of RNAcentral. Lineage: Eukaryota; Metazoa; Chordata; Mammalia; Rodentia; Muridae.
GGGGAUUUGGCUCAGUGGCAGAGCGCUUGCCUAGGAAGCGCAAGGCCCUGGGUUCGGUUCCCAGCUCCA